RNAcentral lists this ribosomal RNA (489 nucleotides) under uncultured bacterium. RNAcentral describes it as "bacterial SSU rRNA". It matches the Rfam family "Bacterial small subunit ribosomal RNA", at positions 501 to 991 of the family's 1533-position model. The record is from RNAcentral.
CUACGUGCCAGCAGCCGCGGUAAUACGUAUGUCGCAAGCGUUAUCCGGAAUUAUUGGGCAUAAAGGGCAUCUAGGCGGCCAGAUAAGUCUGGGGUGAAAACUUGCGGCUCAACCGCAAGCCUGCCCUGGAAACUAUAUGGCUAGAGUACUGGAGAGGUGGACGGAACUGCACGAGUAGAGGUGAAAUUCGUAGAUAUGUGCAGGAAUGCCGAUGAUGAAGAUAGUUCACUGGACGGUAACUGACGCUGAAGUGCGAAAGCUAGGGGAGCAAACAGGAUUAGAUACCCUGGUAGUCCUAGCUGUAAACGAUGAUUACUGGGUGUGGGCAUGAAGAGUGUCCGUGCCGAAGCUAAUGCGAUAAGUAAUCCGCCUGGGGAGUACGGCCGCAAGGCUGAAACUCAAAGGAAUUGACGGGGACCCGCACAAGCGGUGGAGCAUGUGGUUUAAUUCGACGCAACGCGAGGAACCUUACCAGAUCUUGACAUCCUG